ACACCUCAACUCUUCACGGCUUGCUGUGAUGAGCUUGGACUUUGGGGGUCUUGUUGGCCUGUGAGCCAGCUCCUCUUAAAUGAAUUAGCUUGCCAGUGUUUGGUGGUAUCACAGGUGUGAUAACUAUCUACGCUUGUGGUUUCCCAUCAGGUAACCUUCAGCGAUGGAGGUUCGCUGGGGCUUAUAAACAUCUCUCCUUGGUGAGGACAGAUUUUGACU
This 219-nucleotide unclassified non-coding RNA is filed under the name uncultured Tomentella. RNAcentral's name for it is "sequence contains ITS2". Lineage: Eukaryota; Fungi; Basidiomycota; Agaricomycetes; Thelephorales; Thelephoraceae. The record is from RNAcentral.